GGUGAAAGAAAUUAUCGUGAGGCGCACUGCGCGUGAGUGAGCGGUCUCGGAUUGAAAGCUCUUUUUGGGGGGGACCUUGUUGAGUACCGCUCGUACACUGACAGUUCCUAGCAAAAAGGGCGGCUUAAACGUGCCCGCCGCCGCGAUUUAAGAAGCCUGAUCCAGCCAUGCCGCGUGUGUG
This 181-nucleotide ribosomal RNA is filed under the name uncultured Acinetobacter sp. Its description in RNAcentral is "partial 16S ribosomal RNA". Lineage: Bacteria; Pseudomonadati; Pseudomonadota; Gammaproteobacteria; Moraxellales; Moraxellaceae. The record is from RNAcentral.